This 740-nucleotide ribosomal RNA is filed under the name uncultured Russula. Its description in RNAcentral is "eukaryotic LSU rRNA". The stretch from base 249 to 402 matches the Rfam family "5.8S ribosomal RNA". Lineage: Eukaryota; Fungi; Basidiomycota; Agaricomycetes; Russulales; Russulaceae. The record is from RNAcentral.
AGGAAGUAAAAGUCGUAACAAGGUUUCCGUAGGUGAACCUGCGGAAGGAUCAUUAUCRUAACAACCGAGGUGCUUGAGCUGUCGCUGUCCUUCAAAGGUCGUGCACGCCCGAGUGCUCUCACAAUCCAUCUCACCCUUUUGUGCAUCCACCGCGUGGGCCCCCCCUUUGCGGGGGAGGGUUCGCGUUUUUCACAUAAAACUUGAUAUGGUCUAGAAUGUUUAUUUUUGCGGUCACACGCAAUCAAUACAACUUUCAACAACGGAUCUCUUGGCUCUCGCAUCGAUGAAGAACGCAGCGAAAUGCGAUACGUAAUGUGAAUUGCAGAAUUCAGUGAAUCAUCGAAUCUUUGAACGCACCUUGCGCCCCUUGGCAUUCCGAGGGGCACACCCGUUUGAGUGUCGUGAAACCCUCAAAGUCCUCUUUUCUUUCAUCGGAAUGAGGAUUUUGGACUUGGAGGUUCAAUGCUUGCUUUCAAAAGCGAGCUCCUCUUAAAUGAAUUAGUGGGGUCCGCUUUGCCGAUCCUUGACGUGAUAAGAUGUUUCUACGUUUUGGAUUUGGCACGGUUUUCUCUGCUCCUAACCGUCCCAUGGACAACAUAAAACAAACCUUGACCUCAAAUCGGGUGAGACUACCCGCUGAACUUAAGCAUAUCAAUAAGCGGAGGAAAAGAAACUAACAAGGAUUCCCCCUAGUAACUGCGAGUGAAGCGGGGAAAAGCUCAAAUUUAAAAUCUGGUGGU